GAGGAUGAGAACCUCCGGGGGCAAGAGGUUCGACCCGAGCGAAGCGAGAGAACGUUGCGUCAGCAACGGCCCGCAGGGCGAGCCACGCAGUGGCGAGUCAUCCUCUAUCACCGACCA
Molecule: small RNA, 117 nt
Filed under: Salmonella enterica subsp. enterica serovar Infantis
Lineage: Bacteria; Pseudomonadati; Pseudomonadota; Gammaproteobacteria; Enterobacterales; Enterobacteriaceae
Also listed under: 3 other names
Description: partial RtT sRNA
Rfam family: RtT RNA
About the family: This family represents a bacterial cis-regulatory element known as RtT RNA. The exact function of RtT is unknown although it is thought that it may be involved in changing the cellular response in relation to amino acid starvation.
Source: RNAcentral